GACGAACGCUGGCGGCGUGCUUAACACAUGCAAGUCGAACGGAAAGGCCCUUUUCGGGGGGUGCUCGAGUGGCGAACGGGUGAGUAACACGUGAGUAAUCUGCCCCUGACUUUGGGAUAACUUCAGGAAACUGGGGCUAAUACUGGAUAGGAGCAUCCGCUGGAUGGUGGGGGUUGGAAAGUUUUGGCGGUUGGGGAUGGACUCGCGGCCUAUCAGCUUGUUGGUGGGGUAGUGGCUUACCAAGGCGUUGACGGGUAGCCGGCCUGAGAGGGUGACCGGCCAUAUUGGGGCUGAUAUACGGCCCAGACUCACGCGGGGGGCAGCAGUGGGGAAUAGUGCACAAUGGGUGGGAGCCUGAUGCAGCAGCGGCGUGGGCGGGGUGACGGCCUUCGGUUUGAAAACCGCUUUGGCUCAUGGCGGAGCUUGGGGUGACGGUAGUGGGUAAAGAAGCACCGGCUAACUACGUG
This 467-nucleotide ribosomal RNA is filed under the name uncultured bacterium. RNAcentral describes it as "partial 16S ribosomal RNA". It matches the Rfam family "Bacterial small subunit ribosomal RNA", at positions 28 to 507 of the family's 1533-position model. The record is from RNAcentral.